UGUUGUUACCAUACCAGCUUAUCAAUGCCUGAUUUUGUCUGAUCUCAGAAGCUAAAUAGGUUGUGCCUGGUUAGUACUUGCACAUGCCUGAUUAGUACUUGCACAUGUUUGUACAUGUAUGUGAAGAUGAGUGAUAU
Molecule: ribosomal RNA, 137 nt
Filed under: Periophthalmus magnuspinnatus
Lineage: Eukaryota; Metazoa; Chordata; Actinopteri; Gobiiformes; Gobiidae
Source: RNAcentral